RNAcentral lists this ribosomal RNA (460 nucleotides) under uncultured bacterium. RNAcentral describes it as "partial 16S ribosomal RNA". It matches the Rfam family "Bacterial small subunit ribosomal RNA", at positions 338 to 795 of the family's 1533-position model. The record is from RNAcentral.
CCUACGGGCGGCAGCAGUGAGGAAUAUUGGUCAAUGGACGAGAGUCUGAACCAGCCAAGUAGCGUGAAGGAUGACUGCCCUAUGGGUUGUAAACUUCUUUUAUAUGGGAAUGAAAUGUUCCACGUGUGGGAUUUUGUAUGUACCAUAUGAAUAAGGAUCGGCUAACUCCGUGCCAGCAGCCGCGGUAAUACGGAGGAUCCGAGCGUUAUCCGGAUUUAUUGGGUUUAAAGGGAGCGUAGGUGGAUUGUUAAGUCAGUUGUGAAAGUUUGCGGCUCAACCGUAAAAUUGCAGUUGAAACUGGCAGUCUUGAGUACAGUAGAGGUGGGCGGAAUGCGUGGUGUAGCGGUGAAAUGCUUAGAUAUCACGAAGAACUCCGAUUGCGAAGGCAGUUCACUGGACUGCAACUGACACUGAGGCUCGAAAGUGUGGGUAUCAAACAGGAUUAGAUACCCCAGUAGUC